This 194-nucleotide ribosomal RNA is filed under the name uncultured bacterium. Its description in RNAcentral is "partial 16S ribosomal RNA". It matches the Rfam family "Bacterial small subunit ribosomal RNA", at positions 338 to 524 of the family's 1533-position model. The record is from RNAcentral.
CCUACGGGAGGCAGCAGUGGGGAAUAUUGGACAAUGGGCGCAAGCCUGAUCCAGCAAUGCCGCGUGUGUGAAGAAGGCCUGCGGGUUGUAAAGCACUUUCAGUGGGGAGGAAAAUCUCGAGGUUAAUACCCUCGGGCCUUGACGUUACCCACAGAAGAAGCACCGGCCAACUCCGUGCCAGCAGCCGCGGUAAU